UAAUACGUAGGUGUCGAGCGUUGUCCGGAUUUAUUGGGCGUAAAGCGCCCGCAGGCGGCCAGGCAAGUCCAGGGUGAAAUCUCCCGGCUCAACCGGGAGGGUGCCCUGGAAACUGCCUGGCUUGAGGCAGGGAGAGGGAUGUGGAAUUCCCGGUGUAGUGGUGAAAUGCGUAGAUAUCGGGAGGAACACCAGUGGCGAAGGCGGCAUCCUGGCCCUGUCCUGACGCUCAGGGGCGAAAGCGUGGGGAGCAAACCGGAUUAGAUACCCGGGUAGUCCACGCCGUAAACGAUGAGUACUAGGUGUUGGAGGUAUCGACCCCUUCAGUGCCGAAGCCAACGCGAUAAGUACUCCGCCUGGGGACUACGGCCGCAAGGCUA
Molecule: ribosomal RNA, 377 nt
Filed under: uncultured bacterium
Lineage: Bacteria
Description: bacterial SSU rRNA
Rfam family: Bacterial small subunit ribosomal RNA
Source: RNAcentral